CAGCAGCCACGGGAAUACGUAGGGUGCAAGCGUUAAUCGGAAUUACUGGGCGUAAAGCGUGCGUAGGCGGUGAGUUAAGUCUGCUGUGAAAUCCCCGGGCUCAACCUGGGAAUGGCAGUGGAUACUGGCUCGCUAGAGUGUGUCAGAGGAUGGUGGAAUUCCCGGUGUAGCGGUGAAAUGCGUAGAGAUCGGGAGGAACAUCAGUGGCGAAGGCGGCCAUCUGGGACAACACUGACGCUGAGGCACGAAAGCGUGGGGAGCAAACAGGAUUAGAUACCCCCGUAGUCCCUGUCUCUUAUAA
RNAcentral lists this ribosomal RNA (301 nucleotides) under uncultured bacterium. Its description in RNAcentral is "partial 16S ribosomal RNA". It matches the Rfam family "Bacterial small subunit ribosomal RNA", at positions 509 to 809 of the family's 1533-position model. The record is from RNAcentral.